AAAAGAACGAAGAAAGAGACUGAAAACAAAAAAAUUCACACACAAAGCUACGCAUAGGACCCCCCUCUCAGAUCGUCUUCUCCAAACACCCCUUUCCCCACUGCCUUUUCUUCAACAACAAAACCAACAAACACCAUAACAAGGAGCCGCUGCUGCUUCUCCAUCUUGUGACCCCUCGCUGGAAACAACCAGCGAGAACCACAGAGACCACCGUCGUUUACCUCCACUUUGAUCCAAUCGCCGACGAACCAAACAACACCCUUCAUUUUCGCUUGCUUCAACCUAGAACGACCUGAAACCAGCAACACAAAAAUGCACACACACUCACAAAUAGAGAGAAAGGAAGCUGUUGUUCUUGUAAUUUUAUUUGGUUUUAGCUUCUGUCUCGCCGGCGACAGAUCCGACAUUCCCGUCAGCUUGUGUUUUCAGGUGAUUUUCAGUCCAAAACAACACCUGAACACAAAAAUUCCGGUCAGAGCUUGAGUCUUGUUGAGGUUUCCGUUCGAGGUUCGGUGGCAGUUUGGCUUUUGCUCCGAUUUUUCUAUUCGACUUUUAGUAGCGUAUCAGGUAUGAACCUAGAUUCGAAAUGUUGUAAUUGUUGAUCCGUUCCUCGGUAUCAUAAUGAUGUUGCCACCAUUUUCUGAUGCUCCGAUGCUUCCUUGGAUCGUUGAAGCAUAUGUUCAUGAUUUGCUCAUUGAUGACUUCAAUUUGUGCUAAUUGUUUACUGCCUCUGUUUUGUUAAAGUGAGCUGCUUCAUGUUCAGCCAUAUGUGAAUGUGGUUUUCCUUAAUUAUGGAGUUUACUAUUGUUGUUCAUUUUCUACGCACUACUUCUGUUCCGAUUUUGACUCGAUUUUUGCAGGUUUUGUUGUUAUUGAGAUGUUGGUGAUAGUAUGUUUUUGACGAAAUUGAAGGUCUGCUCUCCUGCCAAAAUUCUGUCCUUCACCCAUGAAGUUUUUUUUUUUCGUUUCUGUCACUAUCCUUAUUGGCAAAAUUAUGUACUAAUCUUGUUCUUGACCAUUGAAGUGCUUAGCUUAUUUGCUAUACUUUUGUUCAUUUAGAUCUCCAUCGUAUAUAGAUACGUAGGUGAUGUUCCUCUGAGUUGGGAAGUUAUAUGGUAUAAUAUUAAAGAAGUUCAUCACUUGUAAAAUACUUAUCAACAGAUCACUUUCACAUUUGUGUAUAAAUAUAGAUCAGGUAUAUGUUUAUGUAAUUCUAUAUCCAAACGAGCCUUCCAAUGAAUGUGUAACUUAGAAAUAUAAUUUUGAACAUGUUAGAAUUCCUGGGCGCAUUUAAUUCAUUAUCGUAAUUAUGUACACGUUCGCGUGAUAGAAGUGCGUUUUUUCUUUUAAAAAUAAUAAAUAUUCGUAGAAAAGCCUUUAGGGCCGUUUAAUAUACAAUCAUGAUUGUGUACACAUUCGCGUGACAUAAUUACAGUUCUAAAAUCAACUCGGAGUAUGCGUUCGCGCAACUUCGAUUAAACCUUUUCUUAAUAAUAAAUUUGUUAGUAAUAUAGUACCUUUUAAUUUAACUUAGUUCUUGUAGUUCAAGGUGUGCCAUCCAUAAUUUAAUCACAUAUGGUCCUCGUAUUAAUUUCAUAAUUUAGAUAUAACAAAUAACCAAUGAUCGUAGUUUGCUUUAGGCACAUUUAAUAUAUUAUCGUGGUUGUGGACACGUUCGCGUGACAUGAUAUUUGACACACCAAACAAAUGAGUAUACGUAUGCGUAACUCAAUUCUUUAAUUACGAAUAAUUCAAGUGAUUAAAAAGCGGUAAAAAGGUAAAUGCACAUAGGUCCUAAAAAUGAGUAUUUAAAUAAUUUAAGCCAAGUAUAAAUUGCUAAGCGACCGUGCUAGAACCACGAAAUUCGGGAGUGCCUAACACCUUCUCCCGGGUUAAUAGAAUUCCUUACCCGGAUUUCUAUGUUCGUGGACCAUAAAUAAGAGUCAACUUCCUCAAUUCGGGAUUUUAAACCGGGGACUUGGAACGCCAUAAAUUAUCCCAAGUGGCGACUCUGAAUUUAAUACAAAUAAUCCCGUUUCGAUUGUCACUUAAAUUGGAAAAACUCCCUUAUUCCCCUUGAGGGGUGUAGGUAAAAAGGAGGUGUGACAGCUCUGGCUACUCUGUUGGGGAUCGAACCCAGAAUCUCCGGUUCAGGGUUCAAGAAUUCGAGCUUGUUAACAUGGUUUUUACUUGGCUUUAUUUAUUGUUGAUAUUACUGUAUUAUGUGAACCUUUUGUGCUAAAUGCUAUCUGUUUACCGCUUUGAUAUUGUUUGAGUUGUAUAUAACUGUUUUCUUAUGCCAGGCCUCUGAGUCUUCUAAAAAUGGUGCACACGUUCGAGUGACCCGCGUUUUCUGUAGAAAUUAUACCAAAUAGAACGAGGCUGGGCAAGCGAUAAGGCCUGGUAGACUUCAGUGCUCCCGGUACGUCGCCCCCUCUUCGGCCCCAAUUGUCCACUCGGGUACCCCAAGUCUAGAACAAAACCCCAGGAUUCAAACCUAGAAAAAC
RNAcentral lists this long non-coding RNA (2507 nucleotides) under Nicotiana tabacum (common tobacco). Its description in RNAcentral is "long non-coding RNA (NTAB_LNC005469)". Lineage: Eukaryota; Viridiplantae; Streptophyta; Magnoliopsida; Solanales; Solanaceae. The record is from RNAcentral.